GGUUCCGUAGUGUAGUUGUUAUCACGUUCGCUUCACACGCGAAUGGUCUCCGGUACGAUUCCGGAGGGAGCUA
Molecule: non-coding RNA, 73 nt
Organism: Trichonephila clavipes
Lineage: Eukaryota; Metazoa; Arthropoda; Arachnida; Araneae; Nephilidae
Source: the annotation of a GenBank genome assembly